GUAAUUUCCUGUAAAGUUUAAGAGAAGUAGGUCUCGGGCCAGGUGAGGCUGCUUAAACCAGCAUUGAACCACACACUCCUGACUUGCUUUCACAAAUGUUUGGUAGGUGGCAAGAUCUCGUCUUGAUAUCAACAAGGAUUAUAUAUUAUGUCAUUAUCAUUAUAUUAAUCAAUAAUAAAGGUUUACUCUACUCUGACUGAUAGGCAAAGCAGUCAAAUUCGGGAUUAGAUGGCAACGACAAACUUCCUUGCUGUUAUUUUGCAUUUCAAAUCGGAGAGCUAGAAUACAAAUCUAAAGAAUAUAAAGUUUGGAUAAAGCCAGAGAGUCGUAAAGCAAGCUGGUGAUGAAGAUUAAUUGACCACCACACAAGGAUAACCAAAGGUUACGUUGACAUGAAUGCAAUGGAAUGGAUACAAACUCUUGUAAUCUCAGGACUGUGUAUCCCGUCCUUCUGUGCCGACUACCGCCAACACUGUUUAAUUGAAACCCCCAAAUCCUGGUUUGAUGCCCAGAGCUACUGCAGAGAGAGAGGCCAUGACCUGGCCACCAUAGACGACAUGGGGGCAAUGAAGUCAUUGCUAGCCUUAAAUGCAGACAGAGCUGAUGAGCUAUGGAUCGGUCUUCAACAUGGGGGUCCUGAAAGGUGGCAUUGGUCACUGGCAGACGAGGACUUCUACCAAGAGGGAGAGAGAGACUACCGCAAUUUCGUUGGAAUGGACAAUACUGGUCAUUUUAUUAAACACGAAUCUGGCAAGUGGUACCCUGUUGACAAUAUAAACAGCUAUUUCAUGUGUUAUGAUGGUAAGGAAAACAUACACUCAUGAGUAUGGACAAUACACUUUCAAUAGUAAUGUAUUUAUAUAUUUAUAAUUUAUACAAUUUUAAGGUGCUAUAGGUAAGAUCUAACUACAAUUUAAGCUACUUUUUGAGUGUAAUUUGUCAGACACGGCCUAGCCAUCUGUCAGCUGUUAGUGCACUGUGACAAUCUAUUUCUAGUUGACCGCGACUUCCUCUGUAUGAGAUCAUUUUGAUUUGAAAACGCUCCAGGGUCCCCUCUGACCAAUAAGAGCCUCUCUUAGUUCCCUGAUUGGUUCAGGGAAUACAUCUUGUCUGUCAAUCAAAGGUAUGUGAAAUGCCGGGAGGGAGCAGAGAGAGAAAGGAUGUCUUAACUCUUAUCUCACCUGCAACACCUUAAAACCCAUACCGUUUACACAUUGUCAAGUCUAUAAUUUAUAAAAUGCAUUUGAUGCAAACAAAAGAAUGAAUGCUUUUUUCAGGUAACCAACAAGG
Long non-coding RNA from Gadus morhua (Atlantic cod), 1290 nucleotides. RefSeq lists it as uncharacterized. Lineage: Eukaryota; Metazoa; Chordata; Actinopteri; Gadiformes; Gadidae. The transcript is spliced from 3 exons. The record is from RefSeq and is a predicted model, not a curated record.